Molecule: transfer RNA, 77 nt
Filed under: Candidimonas nitroreducens
Lineage: Bacteria; Pseudomonadati; Pseudomonadota; Betaproteobacteria; Burkholderiales; Alcaligenaceae
Description: tRNA-Arg
Rfam family: tRNA
About the family: Transfer RNA (tRNA) molecules are approximately 80 nucleotides in length.
Source: RNAcentral
GCGGCAGUAGCUCAGUUGGAUAGAGCAACGGCCUUCUAAGCCGUAGGUCGGGGGUUCGAACCCCUCCUGCCGCGCCA